RNAcentral lists this ribosomal RNA (497 nucleotides) under uncultured bacterium. Its description in RNAcentral is "partial 16S ribosomal RNA". It matches the Rfam family "Bacterial small subunit ribosomal RNA", at positions 28 to 507 of the family's 1533-position model. The record is from RNAcentral.
GAUGAACGCUGGCGGCGUGCCUAAUACAUGCAAGUCGAGCGAACAGACGAGGAGCUUGCUCCUCUGACGUUAGCGGCGGACGGGUGAGUAACACGUGGAUAACCUACCUAUAAGACUGGGAUAACUUCGGGAAACCGGAGCUAAUACCGGAUAAUAUAUUGAACCGCAUGGUUCAAUAGUGAAAGACGGUUUUGCUGUCACUUAUAGAUGGAUCCGCGCUGCAUUAGCUAGUUGGUAAGGUAACGGCUUACCAAGGCAACGAUGCGUAGCCGACCUGAGAGGGUGAUCGGCCACACUGGAACUGAGACACGGUCCAGACUCCUACGGGAGGCAGCAGUAGGGAAUCUGCCGCAAUGGGCGAAAGCCUGACGGAGCAACGCCGCGUGAGUGAUGAAGGUCUUCGGAUCGUAAAACUCUGUUAUUAGGGAAGAACAAAUGUGUAAGUAACUAUGCACGUCUUGACGGUACCGAAUCAGAAAGCCACGGCUAACUACGUG